GCGGCCCUGAGGCUCCGUUACCUGCGGAGCCUGGGGGCCAUGCGGGGGCUCCCGGUGGACGCCCUGUGCACCCCCCUGGGGCUGCAGGUGGCCGCGCUGCUGCGCUGCUCCGAUAUCAUCGCCUACGCCUUCGAGGUGCCCCUCCCGGCCCCCCCGGAACGAGGGGAUUUGCCCCAAAAUGAGAGGAGGGAAAAUAGCGGCGGAAAGAACCCAGAACAAGGGAAUCUGCCCCAAAACGGGAGUGAAAACGGCAGCAGAGAGGCCCCGGAACAAGGGAAUCUGCCCCAAAGUAGGAGUGAAAGCAGCAGCUGGGCCGUCCUAGAAUAAAAGGAAUUCUCCCCAAAAUUAAAGUGAAAAUGGCAGGAGACCUUCUUCAAAGUAAGAGAAUCCUCCCCAAAUUUUCAAGCUCUCUUCCUGGACUGAAAACGGCAGCAGAGCCUCGCCAGAAGAAAAGAAUCCUCCCCAAAAUAAGAGGAGUGAAAACGGCAGGAGACCUUUCUUGAAAUAUGAGAAACCUUCCCCAAAAUUUCGGGCUCCCCUCAUGGACUGAAAACAGCAGCAGAGCCUCUCCAGAAUGAGGGAAUCCUCCCCAAAAUUUCAAGCUCCCCAUAUCCCCUGGAAACAGCACAGAAUACGGAAAUUCUCCCCAAAACAAGAGGACUGAAAAUUGCAGCAGAGCCUUCCCCAAAACAAGAGAAUCCUCCCCAAAAUCUCCAGCUCUUCCUGGACUGGAUGCGGCUGCAGAUGCCGCCCCCCCCCGCACCCCCGGAGCGAGGGAAUUUGCCCCAAAAUGAGAGGAGCGAAAAUGGCGGCGGAGAUACCCCAGAAUGAGGGAAUCUGCCCCAAAACGGGAGUGAAAACGGCAGCAGAGAGACCCCAGAAUAGAGGAAUUCUCCCCAAAAUAAGAGGAGUGAAAACAGCAGCGGGGCUGCCCCAGAAUAAAGGAAUUCUCCCCAAAAUUUUGAGCUCCCCU
RNAcentral lists this long non-coding RNA (973 nucleotides) under Anas platyrhynchos platyrhynchos (common mallard). RNAcentral describes it as "lncRNA (ENSAPLG00000027795.1)". The record is from RNAcentral. Lineage: Eukaryota; Metazoa; Chordata; Aves; Anseriformes; Anatidae.